RNAcentral lists this long non-coding RNA (221 nucleotides) under Gossypium barbadense (sea-island cotton). RNAcentral describes it as "long non-coding RNA (GBAR_LNC014356)". Lineage: Eukaryota; Viridiplantae; Streptophyta; Magnoliopsida; Malvales; Malvaceae. The record is from RNAcentral.
AGGGUUUGAUGGUACCUCAUCAGGAGGAAUACCUUCAUUCUCGUUACUAUGUUCAUCUGAAUCACCAAAUCCCUCAUUAGGUGCAUCAUCUCCUAUAGGAACCUCACUUGGAAGAACACCAGACGAAGGUGCCCAUGCGUUCUCUCCAGUGGCUACAAUGCCACCAAACAUUUGCCACAUUAACUCAUUCAAUCGUGGUUCCAUUCCUUUCUUCUUAAAUC